Molecule: ribosomal RNA, 493 nt
Filed under: uncultured bacterium
Lineage: Bacteria
Description: partial 16S ribosomal RNA
Rfam family: Bacterial small subunit ribosomal RNA
Source: RNAcentral
AGUGAACGCUGGCGGUAGGCCUAGCACAUGCCAGUCGAACGGCAGCACAGUAAGAGCUUGCUCUUACGGGUGGCGAGUGGCGGACGGGUGAGGAAUACAUCGGAAUCUACUUUUUCGUGGGGGAUAACGUAGGGAAACUUACGCUAAUACCGCAUACGACCUACGGGUGAAAGCAGGGGAUCUUCGGACCUUGCGCGAUUGAAUGAGCCGAUGUCGGAUUAGCUAGUUGGCGGGGUAAAGGCCCACCAAGGCGACGAUCCGUAGCUGGUCUGAGAGGAUGAUCAGCCACAAUGGACCUGAGAAACGGUCCAGACUCCUACGGGAGGCACCAGUGGGGAAUAUUGGACAAUGGGCGCAAGCCUGAUCCAACCAUACCGCGUGGGUGAAGAAGGCCUCCGGGUUGUAAUACCCUUUUGUUGGGAAAGAAAAGCAGCAGGUUAAUACCCCGCUGUUCUGACGGUACCCAAAGAAUAAGCACCGGCUAACUUCGUGC